Molecule: transfer RNA, 64 nt
Filed under: Mictyris longicarpus
Lineage: Eukaryota; Metazoa; Arthropoda; Malacostraca; Decapoda; Mictyridae
Description: tRNA-Ala
Source: RNAcentral
AAGACCAUAGUCAAUUUCAUGACGUAUGAGUUGCAUUCAUAAAGAGUUUUAUAAACUGGUUUUG